AAGAAUAGCGAUGUUAGUAUGUCCGAGUCUAUCCCGGCAGGAAACUUUUGGCACGAAUUUCAAACAGUGAAAAGGAGAAAAAAAAUUAGGUCGGUCAGGUUAGGUGUCGGCGAUAAGAAAAGAGAUUGCGGGAGCAUCCCCAGCCUUCUUCUUUCCCCUUUUGCCGCCCCCACACACUCCCCCCACGCGUCUAUCACGGAAGCAACACAGAGGAGCGCACACGCACCACUCACACCUCCAACUAUUGACUGUUGUAUCAGGUGUUCUAACCGGGAUGUGACAGUUGAGGCUGGGAGCAGAAAUAAUCAACAUGCCCAUUAGAUACAGGACGGAAUAAUGCUUCUAUUGGUUGGGUCCCUUCGAGAGAGAACCAUUCUCUGCUUUCAAUAGGACAGAAGAGCUCCUUGGCACUGGAUGCCUCCGGGUCUGGUUGAGAGAGGAAUGGUUAGGAGACUGUUCUGAGGAUACGCAGACAUCAUCCAAAGCUUCCUACAUUCAGAUGAGGACAGAGGUUGGGCCAGAGCUUUGUAAGCUUGUUACCUAAGGAUGGUUCUGACCAUGUAAGCAGAUCACAGAAGCUAUUCACAGAUCAUCAUCAGCCAGAGGUGACUUCUGUUGCUUGCAGCUCAGAAUCCUAGAUGUUUCCGGUGGCACUGAAGAGCCUCUGCUGAAGCUCUAUACCAUUUGCCAUUUACAAAGGGAAAUGAAAUAAUAACGCUGACCAUUUGUGGAGCACAUUCUGUCUGGAGGCAAAGGAUGCCAAGAUGGGAAAGCCACAUAAUGGAAGGAUCCUGGAUUUCAGAGCUGUCACUUGGAGGAGGGGCACCCAGUGAAGGUGUCUUAUCUAACCCACACCAUAUCUUCAUGAAGUGGCCAUAUGGAUUUGAUCCCUAUCCUUCAGAGGU
RNAcentral lists this long non-coding RNA (905 nucleotides) under Homo sapiens (human). RNAcentral describes it as "non-protein coding PROX1-AS1:18". Lineage: Eukaryota; Metazoa; Chordata; Mammalia; Primates; Hominidae. The record is from RNAcentral.